RNAcentral lists this non-coding RNA (142 nucleotides) under Syntrophaceticus schinkii. Its description in RNAcentral is "MoCo sequence". It matches the Rfam family "Molybdenum/Tungsten riboswitch aptamer (Moco RNA motif)". Lineage: Bacteria; Bacillati; Bacillota; Clostridia; Thermoanaerobacterales; Thermoanaerobacterales Family III. Incertae Sedis. The record is from Rfam by way of RNAcentral.
AAAUAGUAAUGUUUUCGAGCCUUCUAUCCUACAGCCUUAUGGCUAUGGAUAAUCGGACGAAAGGUGCGUUUAUCGCUCCCCAGGGUAUAGCUGGAAACGGCUGUGCCUCCCGUGUUUGGAAAGAAGAUAUGGCAUGUUUAUC